This 448-nucleotide ribosomal RNA is filed under the name uncultured bacterium. Its description in RNAcentral is "bacterial SSU rRNA". It matches the Rfam family "Bacterial small subunit ribosomal RNA", at positions 329 to 793 of the family's 1533-position model. The record is from RNAcentral.
GUCCAGACUCCUACGGGAGGCAGCAGUGGGGGAUACUGCACAAGGGGGGAAACCCUGAUGCAGCGACGCCGCGUGGGUGAAGAAGCGCCUCGGCGCGUAAAGCCCUGUCAGCAGGGAAGAAAAUGACGGUACCUGAAUAAGAAGCCCCGGCUAACUACGUGCCAGCAGCCGCGGUAAUACGUAGGGGGCAAGCGUUAUCCGGAAUUACUGGGUGUAAAGGGUGAGUAGGCGGCAUGGUAAGCCAGAUGUGAAAGCCUUGGGCUUAACCCAAGGAUUGCAUUUGGAACUAUCAAGCUAGAGUACAGGAGAGGAAAGCGGAAUUCCUAGUGUAGCGGUGAAAUGCGUAGAUAUCAGGAGGAACACCGGUGGCGAAGGCGGCCUGCUGGACUGCGACUGACGUUGAGGCCCGAAAGCGUGGGGAGCAAACAGGAUUAGAUACCCGGGUACG